GAUGAAGAACGUAGCGAAAUGCGAUACUUGGUGUGAAUUGCAGAAUCCCGUGAACCAUCGAGUCUUUGAACGCAAGUUGCGCCCGAAGCCAUUUGGUUGAGGGCACGUCUGCCUGGGCGUCACAUAUCGUUGCCCGAUGCCUCUUGCACUGUGAUAGGAAAUUCUAGGGCGAAAGAUGGCUUCCCGUGAGCGUUGUUGCCUCGCGGUUGGUUGAAAAUUGAGUCCUUGGUAGGGUGUGCCAUGAUAGAUGGUGGUCGAGUUUGCACGAGACCGAUCAUGUGUGCGCUCCCCAAAAUAUGGACUCUUUGACCCCACACGCGUCUUUUGACGCUCAUGACGAGACCUCAGGUCAGGCGGGGCUACCCGCUGAGUUUAAGCAUAUCAAUAAGCGGAGGA
Molecule: unclassified non-coding RNA, 396 nt
Filed under: soil metagenome
Description: partial contains 5.8S ribosomal RNA, internal transcribed spacer 2, and large subunit ribosomal RNA
Rfam family: 5.8S ribosomal RNA (bases 1-122)
Source: RNAcentral